AGUAACACGUGGACAAUCUCGCCCCCCGGCCCGGGAUAGCCCAGGGAAACCUGGAUUAAUACCGGAUGAGACGGGACCCGCGAUGGCGGGAUCCGGGAAAGGCGCUGCGGCGCCGCCGGGGGAUGAGUCUGCGUCCCAUUAGCUAGACGGCGGGGUAACGGCCCACCGUGGCGACGAUGGGUAGCCGGCCUGAGAGGGUGGACGGCCACAUUGGAACUGAGACACGGUCCAGACUCCUACGGGAGGCAGCAGCUAAGAAUCUUCCGCAAUGGGCGAAAGCCUGACGGAGCGACGCCGCGUGAACGAAGAAGGCCGUGAGGUUGUAAAGUUCUUUUCGGGAGGGGGAACAACCGUGGCAGGGAAUGGCCGCGGGAUGACGUGAAUCCCGGAAUAAGCCCCGGCUAACUACGUGCCAGCAGCUGC
This 423-nucleotide ribosomal RNA is filed under the name uncultured bacterium. Its description in RNAcentral is "bacterial SSU rRNA". It matches the Rfam family "Bacterial small subunit ribosomal RNA", at positions 109 to 518 of the family's 1533-position model. The record is from RNAcentral.